UUUUCAAGAUAAGUGUGUCCCAUGUAAUAUUUGGUACAUACUUAUCCUAACA
This 52-nucleotide microRNA precursor is filed under the name Canis lupus familiaris (dog). Its description in RNAcentral is "mir-1302 microRNA precursor family". It matches the Rfam family "mir-1302 microRNA precursor family". Lineage: Eukaryota; Metazoa; Chordata; Mammalia; Carnivora; Canidae. RNAcentral also lists the same sequence under 1 other name. The record is from Rfam by way of RNAcentral.